UACGUAGGGUGCGAGCGUUAAUCGGAAUUACUGGGCGUAAAGCGUGCGUAGAUGGUUAUGUAAGUCGGAUGUGAAAGCCCCGGGCUCAACCUGGGAAUGGCAUUCGAGACUGCCUAGCUAGGAUGCGGAAGAGGGAAGCGGAAUUUCCGGUGUAGCGGUGAAAUGCGUAGAUAUCGGAAGGAACACCAGUGGCGAAAGCGGCUUCCUGGUCCAGCAUCGACGUUCAGGCACGAAAGCGUGGGGAGCAAACAGG
Molecule: ribosomal RNA, 253 nt
Filed under: uncultured bacterium
Lineage: Bacteria
Description: partial 16S ribosomal RNA
Rfam family: Bacterial small subunit ribosomal RNA
Source: RNAcentral